AUUGAACGCUGGCGGCAUGCUUUACACAUGCAAGUCGAACGGUAACAGGCCGCAAGGUGCUGACGAGUGGCGAACGGGUGAGUAAUGCAUCGGAACGUGCCCAGUCGUGGGGGAUAACUACUCGAAAGAGUAGCUAAUACCGCAUACGAUCUAUGGUUGAAAGCGGGGGACCGUAAGGCCUCGCGCGAUUGGAGCGGCCGAUGUCCGAUUAGGUAGUUGGUGGGGUAAAGGCUCACCAAGCCAAAGAUCUGUAGCUGGUCUGAGAGGACGAGCGGCAACACGGGGACUUGGACACGGCCCAGACUCCUACGGGAGGCAGCAGUGGGGAAUUUUGGACAAUGGGCGCAAGCCUGAUCCAGCAAUGCCGCGUGCAGGAAGAAGGCCUUCGGGUUGUAAACUGCUUUUGUACGGAACGAAACGGCUCUGGUUAAUACCCGGGGCUAAUGACGGUACCGUAAGAAUAAGCACCGGCUAACUACGUG
Molecule: ribosomal RNA, 482 nt
Filed under: uncultured bacterium
Lineage: Bacteria
Description: partial 16S ribosomal RNA
Rfam family: Bacterial small subunit ribosomal RNA
Source: RNAcentral